Molecule: transfer RNA, 65 nt
Filed under: Podarcis lilfordi (Lilford's wall lizard)
Lineage: Eukaryota; Metazoa; Chordata; Lepidosauria; Squamata; Lacertidae
Description: tRNA.Gly
Rfam family: tRNA
About the family: Transfer RNA (tRNA) molecules are approximately 80 nucleotides in length.
Source: RNAcentral
GAGCUCAGUGGCAGAACAUCUGCUUUCCAUGUAGAAGGCUCCAGGUUCAAUCUCUGGCAUCUCCA